UCUGGAUGACAGCAGCAGUCAGGAGCC
RNAcentral lists this non-coding RNA (27 nucleotides) under Cricetulus griseus (Chinese hamster). The record is from RNAcentral. Lineage: Eukaryota; Metazoa; Chordata; Mammalia; Rodentia; Cricetidae.